UGAGAGUCAGAAUACCCUUCCAUCCAAGCCGUAACACUCAGUAUUCUUUGGCCCCCGAGUGCCAUGAUCCAUCCCUGUCCAUCCCAUCGGAUCUGUGGAAAUGCCUACAGCUUUUGGUCAGACCUUCGAUGUUCUUCAAAGGACCACGCGCUGAAGGCUUGGUCCCCAGCCCUUUGUGGUGUUGGUGGCACUCUUAGCAGACACUUUCAUGUUGCAGUGUGGAUGCUGGAAGUCAUCUAGUGGAUCACCAAGCUUAUUCCUUGAGAUGGAUAAAGAACUGAGCAUCCAGGAAAGACAGAAGCUCAAUAUGUGUGCUCUCGCCAUUCCUGCCGGCUGCCGCAUUUUCCCACUGUGAUGGUGAUGGACUCAUCUCCCUGGAACCAUAAGCCCAAAUAAACCCUCCCUUUUAUAAGUU
Long non-coding RNA from Mesocricetus auratus (golden hamster), 415 nucleotides. RefSeq lists it as uncharacterized. NCBI's taxonomy places the organism in Eukaryota, Metazoa, Chordata, Mammalia, Rodentia, Cricetidae. The transcript has 3 exons. The record is from RefSeq and is a predicted model, not a curated record.